Molecule: ribosomal RNA, 774 nt
Filed under: uncultured Neocallimastigales
Lineage: Eukaryota; Fungi; Neocallimastigomycota; Neocallimastigomycetes; Neocallimastigales
Description: partial large subunit ribosomal RNA
Rfam family: Eukaryotic large subunit ribosomal RNA
Source: RNAcentral
UAUCUCUGUAGAGUCUGCAUAUCAAUAAGCGGAGGAAAAGAAACUAACAAGGAUUCCCUUAGUAACGGCGAGUGAAGCGGGAAGAGCUCAAAUUUGAAAUCUUCAAGGUUCUACCUUGACGAAUUGUAGUUUAAAGAAGUGUUUUCUGUUGGAGUUUUGGUAAAAGUUCUUUGGAAUAGGACAUCAUAGAGGGUGAGAAUCCCGUAUUUGACCAUUAUUUCCAGCUUUGUGAUACACUUUCAAAGAGUCGGAUUGUUUGGGAAUGCAGUCCAAAAUGGGUGGUAAAUUUCAUCUAAAGCUAAAUACUGGCGAGAGACCGAUAGCGAACAAGUACCGUGAGGGAAAGAUGAAAAGAACUUUGAAAAGAGAGUUAAACAGUACGUGAAAUUGUCAAAAGGGAAGCGUUUGACACCAGUGUUGUUUUCUCGAAAAUCAAUUAAAAAAGGCAGGAUUUUGUGUUGUAUUGACCUUAAAAGCUUUCUUCACUUUUUUCAUGUCUUUUUUAAUGCACUUUUCGUUUAACAAGUCAACAUCAGUUUCUUUUGUUGUAAAAAGGUCAUUGGAAGGUGGCUUUCUUUUCGGAGAAAGUGUUUAUAGCCUUUGACUUCUGCAAUCGGAGAGACUGAGGUCUGCAGCGUAGAUCCUUCUGGAUUAGAUUCAUUUGUGCUAAGUUACAACCGUUUAUAGACAACUUGUUGACUAUAUUCGAUCCUGUAGCUUACUCGCUUAUGUAAUUUUACCUACGCUUAGGAUGUUGAAGAUGUAGCACAUCAU